GACGAACGCUGGCGGCGCGCUUAACACAUGCAAGUCGAACGGCAAGGCCUGCUUUCCCUUGUGGAUUGCGGGUACUCGAGUGGCGAACGGGUGAGUAACACGUGAGUGAUCUGCCCCCAACUUGGGUAUAAGCCUGGGAAACUGGGUCUAAUUCCCGAUAGGACUGCAGGGUGGUGCCUGUGGUGGAAAACGAUUUUCUAGUGGUUGGGGAUGAGCUCGCGGCCUAUCAGCUUGUUGGUGGGGUAAUGGCCUACCAAGGCGGCGACGGGUAGCCGGCCUGAGAGGGUGGACGGCCACAUUGGGACUGAGAUACGGCCCAGACUCCUACGGGAGGCAGCAGUGGGGAAUAUUGCACAAUGGGCGGAAGCCUGAUGCAGCGACGCCGCGUGGGGGAUGACGGCCUUCGGGUUGUAAACUCCUUUCGACCGCGAGGAAGCCACCUGGUUGGAAGGGUGGUGACGGUAGUGGUAGAAGAAGCACCGGCUAACUACGUG
This 494-nucleotide ribosomal RNA is filed under the name uncultured bacterium. RNAcentral describes it as "partial 16S ribosomal RNA". It matches the Rfam family "Bacterial small subunit ribosomal RNA", at positions 28 to 507 of the family's 1533-position model. The record is from RNAcentral.